UGUAAGCGUAUACCAAAGUUGUUGCAGUUAAAAAGCUCGUAGUUGGAUUUCUGGUGGGAGCGAUCGGUCUGGCGCUUAGCGCGAGUACUUGCAUCGUCUCCGGCCAUCCUUGGGGAGAGUCUGUCUGGCAUUAGGUCGUCGGGCAGAGGAUCCUCAUCGUUUACUGUGAAAAAAUUAGAGUGUUCAAAGCAGGCUUAUGCCGUUGAAUAUAUUAGCAUGGAAUAAUAAGAUAGGACUUUGGUACUAUUUUGUUGGUUUGCGCACCAAAGUAAUGAUUAAUAGGGACAGUUGGGGGUAUUCGUAUUCCGUUGUCAGAGGUGAAAUUCUUGGAUUUACGGAAGACGAACUACUGCGAAAGCAUUUACCAAGGAUGUUUUCAUUAA
This 383-nucleotide ribosomal RNA is filed under the name uncultured eukaryote. Its description in RNAcentral is "partial 18S ribosomal RNA". It matches the Rfam family "Eukaryotic small subunit ribosomal RNA", at positions 592 to 976 of the family's 1831-position model. The record is from RNAcentral.